RNAcentral lists this long non-coding RNA (11062 nucleotides) under Nicotiana benthamiana. Its description in RNAcentral is "long non-coding RNA (NBEN_LNC027722)". The record is from RNAcentral. Lineage: Eukaryota; Viridiplantae; Streptophyta; Magnoliopsida; Solanales; Solanaceae.
GGGGAUAAAAAUAGGAAUGAAAAAUGAAAAAGAGCAUUAUUUUUUCAUCGCAUUCAUAGCUAGCAUCCUCUCCCUCCCGUAAAAGUCACUUCUUACUCUCCACCAAGCUCACUUUUCAUCCACCAAAACAUCCAUUAAUGCCACCACAAAACUGCCGCGGAAUCAUAAGAAAAAGGGAGCUGAAAAAAUCCACUUAGUCAAUCCAUUAACACUAGCUGAAUGACAGUUGUACACGUAGCUAUAGAUAUCACCCAAAAUCACUCUAGAACGAGUUAAGAAAUGGUCCUAAACACAGCUGAAAUCUCCAUCAAAAUAUCUCUCCAUGAACCCCACCAAACAACCAUGAAAGCUGGCUAAAAAAGCUCCGAAAAAAACACCAAAAACCAGUCUCAAUACCUGCAAAAACGCAGUAGCAUCUCGAUGAGAACUCAACCGCGAAACUCAGUUAAACCACACCAAAUCAGACCCAACAACCUUUUUUAAACCAGAUGUAAAUCCCCUAUUUUAACCAUGAAAAUUCAGUAACAGUAACUCCAAAAAUAAACCCAAAGCAGCCCUCAAAUUCAUCCAAACACUCAGAAAACCCUUCAGCGAACAAGGUAGGUCGGGGUCGCCAGAAAAUUUUCCUUCGAAGUUCCACCCGUCAUCUCUGGUCGUGCUUAAUUCCGCAUGUAUAUCUGAAGGUUUCCUUUCUCCUCAUGUAUCGAAGAAGAUCAUCAUUUAUAAAAGGUUCAUUUUUUUUUCUUAACCACUGUUUCCAUUGUUUUUCUUUUACAAUGUUUCCUUUUGAUUUGUAUAUCAUAUUUGGUCGUCUACCUUCAAUGAUUCAUUGUUCUUGAUUUUAUUUAUCUGAUUUGAGUGUAUCGGUUGAUGAUUAAUUAUUCUAUCCAUUUGGCUUAUGAAAUUUGGAAAUUUGACUGGAUAAAUAUGUUAGUGUAGAUAAUUUCAAUAUAUUUUAUUUAAUUAAUGUCUUAUCUGUUGAGUUUGGCGUUGAGCUUUAUUAAAGUGAAAUGCAAGUUUAAUGAGUAGUAGGUUGUUAUUGUUGUUUGAGAAUUAAAUAUGGAAAAUACGAUUGAACUUUGACUAGCCCAACACGAUGAAAUCAACAAGUUAGCCCCUUUUUCUUUUACCACUAUUAAUUUUUUUUGGCAAUCCAGUGCUUAGGGCUAGCUUUUUAUUAAUAGCAUAAAAGAGAAAUACAACAAUUAGGAAAAGUACAAAUAAGGGGACAUUAACAUCGGUAUUGUUACCCAUAUAACACAUACCGGGCUAAACAUACCGUACUAAAUCCUAUUGAGGCUUGACAACCUCACAUAUUAACAGGAAUGCAAAAAAUACGAAUUUGACAGGACCAAAUAUUUUAUGAUCAUCACAGAGUUUAUAACAUACUCUGUGAUGAGAUUACAAAUGAGGAUACUAACAAAGUGGAAGAUUAAAAUGAUGAACGAGUUAAAAUGAUGUCCCUUUUUGUCAAUCCUUUCAAUUUCUUCAAUUUGUAAUUCUUUAUCAACAUCGUCCUAAUUCUUAAAGAAGUAUUUAAUACUCAUGAUUUCUUUUUAGAUUGUUUGGACUUUGUUGAUGUAGUUGGGGCGGCCUGCUUAAGCUUGGCAUUUCUCAUUGGAGGUCGCCUAACAUUGUCGUCCCUGAUCUUUUCCUUUGUAUGUGCCUUUUGUUCCUCUGUAGCAUUAAUUAGGACUGUUUCGAGGUGUUGUGGCAGCACUUCAAUUACUUGACCUUCUUCUUCCGUUGAUUUGGCAUGUGUAAAACACCUUGUGCAUCCAAGUUUUGUUCAUCUUGUGAUUUAACAUCGCUUGGAUUGAUUUGUUGUUGUAUGUGAACCUCAUUCAUGCUCCUAUUUCCACGGUUAGUGCUAUAAGGAUCACGACUCAAAAUUUCAAAAGGAUGUGCAGUUAGCAUUUCAUCCAGUAGUUGUCUGUCAUGAGAUAACAAAUAUGUUUUACUGUUUCGUCUCAUUGAUUUAUGCCUAGAAUUGAUGAGAUAAUCUGUGACAUUAAGGUUACUAUAGGUUCCUACUUCCUUCGCUGUGCUCAAUUCUUAAUUACUUCCAUAACCUCGUUCGUCACACGCUCGAGACACCACCUUGUCCAUAUAGUACGAUAGUUUCUUUCCUCUGCUAAAAUGAUUGCAUUGGUUUGAACAUGAUCAUCACAAACAGUAGUUUGUGAGAUUCCUGCACGAGUAGCAGUAGCAUCUUGUAACACAACAUCCGGAUGAAGUUGAGCAGCAAUGUGUGAGUUACAGAACUGUGAAUUAGUUGUAGCAUUAGACAAAGUUAUUGCUUUCCCAUGGCCCACGAAAUUGUCUAGGUUUUGCUCCAUAUUUUCGGCAGCUUUUGCUUUCAUAUGGCCCGCAAUUUGCUCAAUAUUUUUGUUAGUCACAUGGCCAGCACUUUGCUCCAUAAUUUCGGCUUCUUUUGCUUUCACAUGGUCCUCAUUUUGCUCCAAGUUUUCGCCUGUCACCAAACUUGGAUGUCCAGCAACUUUGUUAUCUUUUUUCUCCACAUUAGACGAUUUUUUUUGUUGCCAAAAUUUAUCAACUUUCUUUCCAUUCAAGACAUGGCCCGCAUGGGCUACCUUUUGUUCAAACUUUCCAGAAAUUUGUUUCUCCACAAAAGCCAAACUAUGGCCCACAUGCAUGUCCUUCUUGACCGCAAAUUGCUCCAUAAUAGCAGUAGCAUUAACAUUGCAAUUUGCUCCAUAAUUUCGGCUUCUUUUGUUUUCACAUGGUCCUCAAUUUCCUCCAAGUUUUCGCCAGUCACCAAACAUAUAUUGGCGGCGUCCAUGUGCUUAAAAUUAGUAGAUCUUGCCAAAAAUUUAAUUACAUGACUUCUCCCAAAAAUUCACUAUCCAUAACCCUUUACCUCACAAUAAGACUGGCUCAAGGAGAAAGCCUGGUAUGACGAUGUGAAUCCUGAGGGCGAUGAUGAUGAUGACGAGGGUAAUAAUGGUAAAGGAGGCAGCGCUGUUGAGGGCCAAGUCGGCGGGGAUGUCGAAGGCCGAGAUGGUGGUUUCUAGUAGUUAUCCUUUUUGAUUUUUUGUAUAUUUUUUCCGGCGUCUUCACGAGGCAAUUGUAAACAGUUUUUAAGUAUGUGAAAUAUUUGAGUUGUUCUUUGCUUCUUCUUCUCUUCUUACGGUUUAUUUUCUGUAUUUGUGUAUAUUUUUGUUUUCGUUUCUUAUUCAGUAAGGUCGAAUUGUGACCUAAAUUUGAUUAUCCUCGAGGUCCGGUAGGUAUUAAUUCUAAAAAGGUCGAACAUUAUCUGAGUUUGAUUAUGGCUAAACGCUAGUAGGUGUUAGUUAGAACCUGGUCAAAAUAUAACAUAAGUUUGGUUACAUCGAGAGCCGGUAGGUGUUAGUUUGAACACGGUGGAACGUAACCUAAAUUCGAUUAUGGACAUGCACCGGUAGGUGUUGGUUCAAACAAGGUCAAACCUAACCUAAACUCGAUUACGGCCAAGGGACGGGAGGUGUUAUUUCGAACAAGGUUGAAUGUAGCCUGUAUUCAAUUUCGAUCGAGUAUUGGUAGGUUUUUCGAACAAGGCCAAACAUAACCUAUCGAGGGUUGGGAGGUGUUACUUCGAACAUGGUUAAAACGUAGCCUAAAUUCGAUUACGGCCAAGGGAUGGUAGGUUUUAGUUUGAACAAGGUCGAACGUAAUCUAAAUUCGAUUACAUCCAAGAGUUGGUUGGUGUUAGUUCGAACAAGGUCGAACAUAAACUAAAUUCAGUUAUGAUCGAGGGUUGGUAAGUGUUAUUUCGAACUGGGUCGAACAUAACCUAUUUUUAAGAAGAUAUGCCUAUAGGAGCGAAGUUUGCCGAAACCAUAAACUUUAAGAAUUAUUGCCUUGGUCAUUCACUUGGAGAAAUAAAAAUAUACUUCAAGAAUUCUUGCUUUGGUCAUACACUUGGAGAAAUUUACAAAUUUUUGACUGUUGGCUAGCGUUCCAGUCCCAGCUUAUAUCUAUCUAGCCCCUUUAUUGGUUGACCUGGAGAGUGAUUGAGAGGUCAAGCAAUGAACUAGCCAUCCUAAUACCAUCUUUGCGUACUUCGACUUAAUGUCUUCUUUUCUUCGCCUCAUUAAAAACCUUCUUGAGAAAAAACAAUUGGGACAAAACUCAAGUAAGGAAAAAACAGUAUGAAUUGGGAGAUGCUUUAUCGCUUAAAAGAUGAAGUACUUGAGGUGGGUAAUAUUCCAGUUGUUUGGUAGUAGCUUUCCUUUCAUUGUUUCUAGUUGGAAUGACCCUUUAUUUGCUUUUUCCAUGAUUUUAUACGGACUGUCCCAAUUUGUUCCUAGCUUGACUUCCCGUGGGUCUUUUCUUGCUUGUAUUUUAGCCUUGAGGAUGUAGUCGCCGACCUUGAGCAGCUUGACCCUUGAUUUCUUGUUAUUAUACAGUUCUUCUUGCUAUUUUUGGGCAAUCAUUAUUAUGUAGGCCAUGUUUCUUCGUUCUUCGACUUCAUUGAGCUCCUAGCUUCAGCUUUUGUUAUUUCUCAUACCGUUCUCGUGGGUGUAUCUUAAGCUGGGUUCUCAAACCUCUAUUGGUAUUAACAUACCAGUUCUAUAGACCAAAGAGUUGGGUGUCUCUCCUAUGCUCAUUUUUGGUGUUGUUUGAUAGGCCUAUAACACUUUUGGUAAUAUUUUUUCGCCAAGUCCCUUGGUUUCUUCAAGAUUUUUCUUCCUGAUGUUUAGUAUCGAUUUGUUGGAGGACUCCGUUUUCCUGUUUCCCGCGGGGUGGUAUGGCAUCGAGAGUAUUCUUUUGAUAUGCCAUUUCUAAAAAAACUCAUCGGUCUUCUUUCCUGUAAACUAGGGUCCAUUGUCGCAGUUGAUCUCUUUAGGGAUGCUGAACUAGCAUAUGAUGAUUUUCCAUAUAAAGGCGAUCAUUUCCUGUUCAUGUAUUUGGGCGAAUGCUCUUGCUUCCACACAUUUAGAGAAAUAAUUAGUUAAAAUCAAAAGGAAUCACAUGUUAACUCGCCCUGCCGGAAGGAGGACCACAGUGUCUAUUUCCCAUUUGAUGAACGACCAAGUUAAGGUGACCGAGUGGAGGUGUUCGCCUUCUUUGUGAAUCAUUGGAGCAUACUUUUGCCAUUGCUCACAUUUUUUAUGAAGUUUGUGGCCUCCGUUUUCAUGGCAGGCCGGUAAUAACCUGCUCGUAUGAUGCAUCUGACCAAAGCCUGAUUGCCGGAAUGAGCUCCCCUCGUGGACUUCAUCAAGGACGCACCGCGUCUGGUUCGGGCCUAAGCAUUUUUCUAGAGGGCCGAUGUAAGUUCUCUUAUACAUGUCAUUAUUGAUGAUACUGUUCCUGACUGCUUUUAUUUUCAGUUUUUUGGCUUCUUUUUUAUCAUCUAGGAGUGUGCCAUCCUACAAAUAUGCAAUAAUACGAUUGAGCUAGUCCCAAGUUAAGCUUACGGUUCUUACAACGACAUGAUCAACUGAUGAGUUGAGGAGGUGGGCAAUGUUUUAAUCUCUAGUUGCGAUGCUUUUGGCGGUUGCGGCUAUUUUAGCGAGGUUAUCCUUCUCAGCAUUCUGUGCUCGAGGAAUUUGGUCGAGUUAACACUCGUCGAAAUCAGGCAGCAACUUGUAGAUUUCAAUCUAAUAUUUUUGUAAUCUUUUCUCUUUGAUUUUGUAAGUCUCAGUGACUUGGUUGACUACAAGUUGGGAAUCACAAUAUAGUUUUAACCGUUUUACCCUGUACUUGAGUGCUAAUCUCAAAUCUUCAAUUACGGCCACAUACUCGACCUCAUUGUUAGUCAUAUCUAGGCACAUUAUGGAAUAGAGAAUCACUUUGCCUGUUGGGACAUCUAGUACGAGUCCUAGUACGGACCGUGACGCUUUAGAUGCGCCAUUUGUGUAUAAGACUAGAGGUCUUGUGUUUGGGGGAGGAGGGGGGACGUUUGAGCAGCUUCUCUUUCAACCUCUGGCAUUACUUUUGCGCUAAAGUUGGCAAUGAAGUCAGCGAGCACUUGUGGCAUUAUUGCUACUCGUGGUUGGGACGCGAUAUCAUGCUCGCUCAGCUUGGUGGCCCAUUUUCCAACCUUCACUAUUGCUCGAGUUUAUGCAAAAUUCUUCUCAAGGGAAAGUCGUAACGACUAAUAUGGAAUGGAAUUGGAAAUACGCUGUAAGAUUUUGUGAAGCUACGACUAAAGCCAGGGCCAGUUUUUCGAGGGGAGGAUACCUCGUCUCAGCAUCAACUAAUGUUUUGCCAAUAUAAUAAAUGGCGGAUUGCGUACCUUUGUUUUGUUGAAUCAGGACUGCGCUCACUAUUACUUUGGAUACAACAAGGAAAACAAGGAGACAUUCCCCUGGCUUUGGUUUUGAAAUAGUAGUGGCGAUGACAAGUAUACUUUUAAUUAUUUCAAGGCUUGGACGCACCCAAAAGUCCAUUGGAGGCCAUUUUCCUUCUUAAGUACGAUAAAAUUUUUAUGACAUCUAUCCGACGAACGUGAAAUGAACUUUGACAGGGCGGUGAUUCAGCCAAUCAGCUUUUGAACCUGUUUUUUAGUGGUUAAGUGUUUCGGUAUUCCCUCAGUGGCUUUGAUUUGGUCAAGAUUGACAAUGAUCCCUCUUUGUGAUAACAGAAACCUAGAAACUUUCCUGAGGCCACACCAAACACACAUUUUUAUGGGUUCAGAUUCAUUCCGUAUAGGCUGAGUAUAUUGAAAGUUUCUCUUAGAUGGUCAGUGUGGUGUUCUUUCUUUUUGGACUUGACAAACAUGUCGUCUAUUUGGACAUUCAUUCUUUUGCCGAGUUGGUCCUUAGACAUCCUCAUCACCAGCCUUUGGUAAGUUUCCCUCGCGUACUUUAGCCUAACCUUGUAGCAGUACGUCCCUUGAUGUGUGAUGAAUGUAGUAUUUUUCUGAUCCUCUUCCUCUUUGAGGAUUUGAUUAUAACCUGAAUAAGCAUCUAAGAAUCUCAUUAGUUUGUGCCUGACUGUUGCAUCGAUUAGUUGGUCAUAAUAGGGUAAUGGGAAUAAAUCCUUGGGGCAUGCUUUGUUCAAAUCUGUGAAAUCCAAGCAUAUCCGCGAUUUCCCAUUAUUUUUUGCCAUGAACACGUUAGCGACCUACUGAGAGUACUUCGAAUCCCUGAUGGAGUCAUUUUCAAAUAUUUUUCUACCUCUUCACGCUCAAAAUCAUUAAUUACAGAGUUCAAUUUACGUCUGAUCUAUCUUACUGGGGGUGGAAUGGGUCCAUUUUCAAUUUGUGCGUGGGUAUUUCCUUUGGGAUACCCGGGAUAUCUGCAUGGAUGAAAGCAAAAAAAUCUGCGAUAGCUGUUAAAAAUUGAUGAAAUUUACUUGGUUCCUAAAGUUUGUAGGCGAUGUAAGAUUUCUUGCUGUGUUCGUUGAGGUCUAAUUGAAUGGGGUCGAGGUCUUCUAUUAUCCAUCCUAUAGCUUCGACCAUAUUAGGGUCAUUGAUGACGUCCUCGCUGUCAUCACAUAUCGAUCUUGACCCUAUUGAUUGGUAUUCCUAUUUUUCUUUUUCAUUCAUCCUCACCGUCAUCACAUAUCGACCUCGAUCUUCUUGAUUGCUAUGCCUCUUUUUCUUUGUCCUUCAUUUGUUGACUGGCCAUGCUGUCUAGGGCGAUGCAAUAGCAUUUCCGAGAUAUGUGUUGUUCCCCUUAUAUGCUGAAUAUUUCCCAUAGAGUUGGGAAUUUGAUUACCUGGUAUAAGCUAGAAGGGACGAGCCUUAUGGUGUGUAUCCAUGGUUUUCCUACUAUGGCGUUGUAUGCUGUGUGUUGGUCUAUGAUGUGGAACAUGGUCUCUAGAGUAACGCCACCGGCCAAAAAAGGGAGUGUGAUUUCACUAGCUGUUCGCUCGACUACAUUAUAAAAACUAGUUAGCAUGAUGCAACAUGGCACUAUCUUGUUUUCGAGUUUCAUUUGUGCAAGUAAUCUAGGAUACAUAAUGUAUGCAUCACUCCCAUCGUCUACCAUUAAUGCACCUCACAUCAACAUCUGAAAUUCGUAAAGUAAUAACAAGGAUAUCAUAGUGAGGAAAAGCCAAACUGUGGGUAUCUAACUUAUCAAAGAUGAUACUCUCUUCAAGUUCGUCAAACCGUUUGCGGGUGGUUGAACAUUUGAGCUUGUUGGUAGUGGUGAACUUCACGCUGUUUAUGGAAGUUGUAAUGACCUUGUUGGUCGUUUUAUGAGUUAUUGCCCCAUUCCCCCCCCCCCCCCCCUUUUUUUUUUUUNNNNNNNNNNNNNNNNNNNNNNNNNNNNNNNNNNNNNNNNNNNNNNNNNNNNNNNNNNNNNNNNNNNNNNNNNNNNNNNNNNNNNNNNNNNNNNNNNNNNNNNNNNNNNNNNNNNNNNNNNNNNNNNNNNNNNNNNNNNNNNNNNNNNNNNNNNNNNNNNNNNNNNNNNNNNNNNNNNNNNNNNNNNNNNNNNNNNNNNNNNNNNNNNNNNNNNNNNNNNNNNNNNNNNNNNNNNNNNNNNNNNNNNNNNNNNNNNNNNNNNNNNNNNNNNNNNNNNNNNNNNNNNNNNNNNNNNNNNNNNNNNNNNNNNNNNNNNNNNNNNNNNNNNNNNNNNNNNNNNNNNNNNNNNNNNNNNNNNNNNNNNNNNNNNNNNNNNNNNNNNNNNNNNNNNNNNNNNNNNNNNNNNNNNNNNNNNNNNNNNNNNNNNNNNNNNNNNNNNNNNNNNNNNNNNNNNNNNNNNNNNNNNNNNNNNNNNNCCCCCUCCCCCCCCCCCCUCUCAUUUUUUCUUUUUUAUGUGUUGUUCAAUUGUAUUUCAUAGUAUCGUGUUGGUUGGUUCGGGUCCAGAGUAGUUUUUGAGUGGAAUGAGAUAUUUAGUCUCUUAAGUAGAAGCAUAAGUUGGAAAAGUCAACCGAAUGUUGACUUAUAUGUAGGAGGUCUUACAUGUGAAUAAUGAUGGUUUGAUUAGCUAUUAGGUAAUUUUAAACUUAGACGCGUGUUCGGAAUGCAGUUUGGAGGUCCAGGGUAGAUUUAGGCUAGAAUUGAUGAAUUGGAAAUUCAGUGCUUUCUGGUUGGCAAUGGAAAUCUUGAUAUCGGGGUCGGAGUGGGAUUCCAAAAAUUGGAGUUGGUCCAUAAUUUCACUUGUGAUGUGUGUGCAAAUUUUAAGGUUAUUCGAGCGAGGCUUGAUAGGUUUCGGCGUCGUUUGCGGAAUUCUGAUGUUUGGAAAUCCUUAGGUUUGAAUCCAAUGGUGAUUUCAUGUUUGGAUGUUGUUGUGAGUGUUCCAAAGGUUUGAAUAAGUUUUUGAUGGUGAUAUAGGUCUUGUUGGCAUGUUUGGUUGAUGUCCCGAGGGCCAAGGGUUGAUUUCGGGAGGUUGACAGAUCAAGGAUGGGAUUUGUUGAAGUGCUGAAGAUUUCCUUCAGCUAUCAUAAUUGCACCUGCAGAGUAGGGACCACAGGUGUGAGGUUUGCAUAAGCGGGAGAGCAGCCGCAGAAGCGGCUAAGGACAAGGAAGCCAAAUACUGCAGUUGCAGAAGGAGUAGCGCACCUACGAGACUGCAGGUGUAGUAUUCGACUGCAGAUAUAGGAAAAAGGACGGAUAUGUGAAACGUCAUAUGUGAUUGAUUUGAUCGCAGAGGUUGUGCGCAAGUGUGUAAAAGUGGGCCAUAAAUGCGAGAUUCCCGGGAAGAAGGUAUUUAAGGAGCCCUUUGGUAAUUUUUGAGUAUCCUACACUAUUUUUAUCCGUAUUUUAUAGAUUUUGGAGUGUUUUGAAGAGGGAAUGAAGGGGAUACUUAUUGAGGUAAUUUAUUUCAGCUUAAUGAUUGUGAUUAUGGUAAAUUUCAGUGGCUUAAGCAUGAAAUUAGUUUAUAUUAGAGAUGAAAUUGAGGGGUUGGGGCUUGGAAAGUGGAGAGUUUAAUUUAAGGAUUUUAGGGACCAUUUAUGUAUAGACUCAUGAGUAAUAAGAGUUUCUAGUUUUCUGAAUUUUGUGGACUUUUGAGAUGUGGGCCCGUUGGGUCAGGUUUGGGUGAAUUUCGGGAUUUUGGUAUAAAUUUACAGUUUUUCAUUUGGAAUUGAUCACUUGGCCUAUAUUGAUAAUAUUGUAAUGCUUUUGUUUAGAUUUGAGGCAUUUGGACGCCGAUUCUAGAGGAAAGGUCAUUGCGAUGUGGGGAUUUAACCGGUUCGAGAUAAGUAAUAGUUGUAAUUCUUAUCCUGAGGGUAUAAUGCCUCGGAUUUCACAACGUUGCACUAUUUUUGAGGCGACACACAUGCUAGAUGACUGGCGUGCACUGUUGGGGAUUGUGACUUGUUAUUUAUUACUUAGUCAUGUUAUAUUUUACUGAUUUCCUAUCUAAGACUUGUUUACUCCGUUUUCUUGCACAAAACAAUAUUUUGGGUUGAUCAGUCUAUUUUACUGAUAGCCUAAGUGGCUUGAGAUGUUUAUGACUGAGUGAGGUUGAGAGCUUGUGUUGUGAGGAUAUUAUUGGAUUGGACUACGCGCCGCAACAUGUUGUUACUGAUUUAUGAUAUAUCAGAGGCUGAGGGACUGAUUGAUUAUUCCACGAGGUGGCUUGUUAUAGCACUUGGGAUGUAGGAACCCCUCCGAAGUCUUCACACCCCCAGUGAGUGCAGGUACCCUGAGUGAGUCAUAUCAUGUUGCACGAGAGGCUACUCUUGAUUAUGUUGUGCCCGAGGGGCUGAUUACGAGUGAUUGUGAGGUCGCCCAAUGGGUGAUUCUGUGUGAUGUUAUGACCGAGGGGCGGUUUAUGAUAUAUGUUUAGCCAGAGGGGCUAUUUUUUGAUUUCCAUCACUUUUACUCUAAAUUUCAUUGAACCUCUGUUGAAACUGUUUAAAUAUAUCUUCAAAUAAUUUAUACCAAAAAUAGAUUUUUAAAUGAGUUGAUUUGACUUCUAUAUUGAUUUGAAAGUAUGCUGUACUUACGGAGAUUUCAUGACGCAUAUUUAUGCAUUUCUUAUUGCUCAGUCUUUAUAUACCUUUGUUAUUUACCGAGUUGGCAUAAUCACAUUACUCCCUGCAUCUUGUGUGCAGAUCCAGGGGUUGAUGGACGUGAUACCGAGCGCUGAUCUUUCAUCUGUCGUGGAUAUUUGGAGUCAGCAAAGUAGUUGUAUGGAGAUCGCAACCUCGCUCUUCUCCC